Molecule: long non-coding RNA, 447 nt
Filed under: Homo sapiens (human)
Lineage: Eukaryota; Metazoa; Chordata; Mammalia; Primates; Hominidae
Description: HSALNT0323031
Source: RNAcentral
GGAGCUACAUGUCAUCCUCUCAAGUAGCUGGGACUAUAGUCCACAGAUUUACAACUUGAGGUGGCCUGCACCAGACCCACGGGGCAAUAACAGUCUUCCAUUGAAUUCUUUAGCAGUUUCUACAAUUGCAUAAGAUCCUAGCUGGCUCAAGAGUCUUCUUGCCUCUGCUGCAGCAAUUACUUGGCUUGGUGUGUAGAUGUCUGAAUGCCAUGAAGUUUAGAGAGGAAAAGAUGACAAGAGCAAAGUAAACAAACAAGAAAGGCCGUGGAUCUUGGUUGAUGCCAACAGAUGCCGUGUCGUGAAGAUGCUCUGAAGGAAAGACGUUGACGGGGUCUCCUCACUCUCCUGGGCCCUUCUGACUAGUGACUGUCUUCUCACUGCUGCUGCUACCAGUGCCCAGUUUGUUGCCUGAAGCCAAAAGCUGAAAGCUCACAUAAUCUUUUGAAG